UUCGAAAUUUUUGAGAAUGGCCAGUCACGGCGUUUGCGUUUGUUAGGCCGCGCGUGGGCGGCGCCAGCUUUAAGAAGCGGUUCCGGUUUGUUUUCGCCAUACCUGAGGGCGUCGCUGUCCGGUUUAUUUUUGCUGUUCGGAUCACCGCAAGGAGGAGAAAGCAACAUGAAGUUUCUGGGGCGGGUAAUGCUCUUCACGUCCAUGGUUGAGUUUAAUUGAUUUUUUAAUGAUAAGGGAGGUCAUGGAUUCGUAGUCGUGGUGCAUGUUAUGUAUUUUUCUGAACUAUUUUUCAAUAUGUUGAAUCAUGUGAGAGUAUUUCCAGUUUCCACACAAAUAUACAAACUCAUCUCCAUGCUAUAUUUUAGGAUAGGCUACAGAUGUCUAUGUUCUUUCAUCCAGCCCAUGACGCAAACUUCUUCCAUGUGCCAAAUUUGCUCUAAAUAAUGUUGUCAUUGAGAAAAUUAUUGUGUGUGGCUCUUCCAGCUGUA
Triticum aestivum (bread wheat) is the source of this 488-nucleotide long non-coding RNA. RefSeq lists it as uncharacterized. The transcript is spliced from 2 exons. The record is from RefSeq and is a predicted model, not a curated record. Lineage: Eukaryota; Viridiplantae; Streptophyta; Magnoliopsida; Poales; Poaceae.